Molecule: transfer RNA, 62 nt
Filed under: Leishmania tarentolae
Lineage: Eukaryota; Euglenozoa; Kinetoplastea; Trypanosomatida; Trypanosomatidae
Description: partial tRNA-Tyr
Source: RNAcentral
CCUUCUGUAGCUCAAUUGGUAGAGCAUGUGACUGUAGAAUUUGCAGGUAUCACAGGGUCGCU